RNAcentral lists this ribosomal RNA (497 nucleotides) under uncultured bacterium. RNAcentral's name for it is "partial 16S ribosomal RNA". It matches the Rfam family "Bacterial small subunit ribosomal RNA", at positions 28 to 507 of the family's 1533-position model. The record is from RNAcentral.
GACGAACGCUGGCGGCGUGCCUAAUACAUGCAAGUUGAGCGCUGAAGGUUGGUACUUGUACCAACUGGAUGAGCAGCGAACGGGUGAGUAACGCGUGGGGAAUCUGCCUUUGAGCGGGGGACAACAUUUGGAAACGAAUGCUAAUACCGCAUAAAAACUUUAAACACAAGUUUUAAGUUUGAAAUAUGCAAUUGCAUCACUCAAAGAUGAUCCCGCGUUGUAUUAGCUAGUUGGUGAGGUAAAGGCUCACCAAGGCGAUGAUACAUAGCCGACCGGAGAGGGUGAUCGGCCACAUUGGGACUGAGACACGGCCCAAACUCCUACGGGAGGCAGCAGUAGGGAAUCUUCGGCAAUGGACGAAAGUCUGACCGAGCAACGCCGCGUGAGUGAAGAAGGUUUUCGGAUCGUAAAACUCUGUUGGUAGAGAAGAACGUUGGUGAGAGUGGAAAGCUCAGCAAGUGACGGUAACUACCCAGAAAGGGACGGCUAACUACGUG